UACGGAAGGCAGCAGUGGGGAAUAUUGCACAAUGGGCGCAAGCCUGAUGCAGCCAUGCCGCGUGUAUGAAGAAGGCCUUCGGGUUGUAAAGUACUUUCAGUCGUGAGGAAGGUGUUAAGGUUAAUAACCUUAGCAAUUGACGUUAGCGACAGAAGAAGCACCGGCUAACUCCGUGCCAGCAGCCGCGGUAAUACGGAGGGUGCGAGCGUUAAUCGGAAUUACUGGGCUAAAGGGCACGCAGGCGGUUAAUUAAGUUGGAUGUGAAUCCCCGGGCUUAACCUGGGAAUGGCAUUCAAGACUGGUUAGCUAGAGUCUUGUAGAGGGGGUAGAAUUCCAUGUGUAGCGGUGAAAUGCGUAGAGAUGUGGAGGAAUACCGGGUGGCGAAGGCGGCCCCUGGGACAAAGACUGACGCUCAUGUGCGAAAGCGUGGGGAGCGAAACAGGGAUUAGAUACC
Molecule: ribosomal RNA, 454 nt
Filed under: uncultured bacterium
Lineage: Bacteria
Description: bacterial SSU rRNA
Rfam family: Bacterial small subunit ribosomal RNA
Source: RNAcentral